RNAcentral lists this long non-coding RNA (273 nucleotides) under Nicotiana benthamiana. Its description in RNAcentral is "long non-coding RNA (NBEN_LNC013928)". Lineage: Eukaryota; Viridiplantae; Streptophyta; Magnoliopsida; Solanales; Solanaceae. The record is from RNAcentral.
AUAAUUCAUACCGAGCACCCAAACGGAAAUGCAAUUUAGCCACACAGCAUAGAAGAUUAUUUUUGUAUACGGUCAAAAUUGGACUCGCCCUUUGUAUGACUAAUCAAGACUAGAAUAUGAUAGGUUAAAGUUUGAACUCGUAUUUUAUCUGAUGAAACAAUACUAUUUGCACCAAGUAUUCAUCCAUACAUGCCUCCAGGAAUACAAAACUACUACUGAAACAGCAUAGCAAUCUCACCAGAUACUACUUUGAAUUACAGCUACUAAACAGUG